AACACGUGGGCAACCUACCUAGUAGAUUGGGAUAACUCCGGGAAACCGGGGCUAAUACCGAAUAAUCCAUUUUGUCACAUGGCAAAAUGCUGAAAGGCGGUUUCGGCUGUCACUACUAGAUGGGCCCGCGGUGCAUUAGCUAGUUGGUGGGGUAAUGGCCUACCAAGGCAACGAUGCAUAGCCGACCUGAGAGGGUGAUCGGCCACAUUGGGACUGAGACACGGCCCAAACUCCUACGGGAGGCAGCAGUAGGGAAUCUUCCACAAUGGACGAAAGUCUGAUGGAGCAACGCCGCGUGAGUGAUGAAGGUUUUCGGAUCGUAAAACUCUGUUGUAAGGGAAGAACAAGUACGUUAGUAACUGAACGUACCUUGACGGUACCUUAUUAGAAAGCCACGGCUAACUACGUGCCAGCAGCCGCGGUAAUACGUAGGUGGCAAGCGUUGUCCGGAUUUAUUGGGCGUAAAGCGCGCGCAGGUGGUUUCUUAAGUCUGAUGUGAAAGCCCACGGCUCAACCGUGGAGGGUCAUUGGAAACUGGGAGACUUGAGUGCAGAAGAGGAAAGUGGAAUUCCAAGUGUAGCGGUGAAAUGCGUAGAGAUUUGGAGGAACACCAGUGGCGAAGGCGACUUUCUGGUCUGUAACUGACACUGAGGCGCGAAAGCGUGGGGAGCAAACAGGAUUAGAUACCCUGGUAGUCCACGCCGUAAACGAUGAGUGCUAAGUGUUAG
Molecule: ribosomal RNA, 728 nt
Filed under: Kurthia sp. A5AGL1
Lineage: Bacteria; Bacillati; Bacillota; Bacilli; Caryophanales; Caryophanaceae
Description: bacterial SSU rRNA
Rfam family: Bacterial small subunit ribosomal RNA
Source: RNAcentral